RNAcentral lists this ribosomal RNA (208 nucleotides) under uncultured bacterium. RNAcentral describes it as "partial 16S ribosomal RNA". It matches the Rfam family "Bacterial small subunit ribosomal RNA", at positions 568 to 774 of the family's 1533-position model. The record is from RNAcentral.
CACGUAGGCGGAUAUUUAAGUCAGGGGUGAAAUCCCGGGGCUCAACCUCGGAAUUGCCUUUGAUACUGGGUGUCUUGAGUAUGAGAGAGGUGUGUGGAACUCCGAGUGUAGAGGUGAAAUUCGUAGAUAUUCGGAAAGAACACCAGUGGCGAAGGCGACACACUGGCUCAUUACUGACGCUGAGGCUCGAAAGCGUGGGGAGCAAACA